This 2816-nucleotide ribosomal RNA is filed under the name Klebsiella pneumoniae. RNAcentral describes it as "partial 23S ribosomal RNA". It matches the Rfam family "Bacterial large subunit ribosomal RNA". Lineage: Bacteria; Pseudomonadati; Pseudomonadota; Gammaproteobacteria; Enterobacterales; Enterobacteriaceae. The record is from RNAcentral.
GGUUAAGCGACUAAGCGUACACGGUGGAUGCCCUGGCAGUCAGAGGCGAUGAAGGACGUGCUAAUCUGCGAAAAGCGUCGGUAAGGUGAUAUGAACCGUUAUAACCGGCGAUGUCCGAAUGGGGAAACCCAGUGCAAUUCGUUGCACUAUCGUUAACUGAAUACAUAGGUUAACGAGGCGAACCGGGGGAACUGAAACAUCUAAGUACCCCGAGGAAAAGAAAUCAACCGAGAUUCCCCCAGUAGCGGCGAGCGAACGGGGAGCAGCCCAGAGUCUGAAUCAGCUUGUGUGUUAGUGGAACGGUCUGGAAAGUCCGACGGUACAGGGUGAUAGUCCCGUACACCAAAAUGCACAGGCUGUGAACUCGAAGAGUAGGGCGGGACACGUGGUAUCCUGUCUGAAUAUGGGGGGACCAUCCUCCAAGGCUAAAUACUCCUGACUGACCGAUAGUGAACCAGUACCGUGAGGGAAAGGCGAAAAGAACCCCGGCGAGGGGAGUGAAAAAGAACCUGAAACCGUGUACGUACAAGCAGUGGGAGCACCUUCGGGUGUGACUGCGUACCUUUUGUAUAAUGGGUCAGCGACUUAUAUUCUGUAGCAAGGUUAACCGUAUAGGGGAGCCGCAGGGAAACCGAGUCUUAACUGGGCGUUAAGUUGCAGGGUAUAGACCCGAAACCCGGUGAUCUAGCCAUGGGCAGGUUGAAGGUUGGGUAACACUAACUGGAGGACCGAACCGACUAAUGUUGAAAAAUUAGCGGAUGACUUGUGGCUGGGGGUGAAAGGCCAAUCAAACCGGGAGAUAGCUGGUUCUCCCCGAAAGCUAUUUAGGUAGCGCCUCGUGAACUCAUCUUCGGGGGUAGAGCACUGUUUCGGCUAGGGGGUCAUCCCGACUUACCAACCCGAUGCAAACUACGAAUACCGAAGAAUGUUAUCACGGGAGACACACGGCGGGUGCUAACGUCCGUCGUGAAGAGGGAAACAACCCAGACCGCCAGCUAAGGUCCCAAAGUCAUGGUUAAGUGGGAAACGAUGUGGGAAGGCACAGACAGCCAGGAUGUUGGCUUAGAAGCAGCCAUCAUUUAAAGAAAGCGUAAUAGCUCACUGGUCGAGUCGGCCUGCGCGGAAGAUGUAACGGGGCUAAACCAUGCACCGAAGCUGCGGCAGCGACACUAUGUGUUGUUGGGUAGGGGAGCGUUCUGUAAGCCUGCGAAGGUGACCUGUGAGGGUUGCUGGAGGUAUCAGAAGUGCGAAUGCUGACAUAAGUAACGAUAAAGCGGGUGAAAAGCCCGCUCGCCGGAAGACCAAGGGUUCCUGUCCAACGUUAAUCGGGGCAGGGUGAGUCGACCCCUAAGGCGAGGCCGAAAGGCGUAGUCGAUGGGAAACAGGUUAAUAUUCCUGUACUUGGUGUUACUGCGAAGGGGGGACGGAGAAGGCUAUGUUAGCCGGGCGACGGUUGUCCCGGUUUAAGCAUGUAGGCUGAUUGUCCAGGCAAAUCCGGAUAAUCAAGGCUGAGGUGUGAUGACGAGGCACUACGGUGCUGAAGUAACAAAUGCCCUGCUUCCAGGAAAAGCCUCUAAGCAUCAGGUAACAUCAAAUCGUACCCCAAACCGACACAGGUGGUCAGGUAGAGAAUACCAAGGCGCUUGAGAGAACUCGGGUGAAGGAACUAGGCAAAAUGGUGCCGUAACUUCGGGAGAAGGCACGCUGGUGUGUAGGUGAAGUCCCUGCGGAUGGAGCUGAGACCAGUCGAAGAUACCAGCUGGCUGCAACUGUUUAUUAAAAACACAGCACUGUGCAAACACGAAAGUGGACGUAUACGGUGUGACGCCUGCCCGGUGCCGGAAGGUUAAUUGAUGGGGUUAUCCGUAAGGAGAAGCUCUUGAUCGAAGCCCCGGUAAACGGCGGCCGUAACUAUAACGGUCCUAAGGUAGCGAAAUUCCUUGUCGGGUAAGUUCCGACCUGCACGAAUGGCGUAAUGAUGGCCAGGCUGUCUCCACCCGAGACUCAGUGAAAUUGAACUCGCUGUGAAGAUGCAGUGUACCCGCGGCAAGACGGAAAGACCCCGUGAACCUUUACUAUAGCUUGACACUGAACAUUGAGCCUUGAUGUGUAGGAUAGGUGGGAGGCUUUGAAGCGUGGACGCCAGUCUGCGUGGAGCCAACCUUGAAAUACCACCCUUUAAUGUUUGAUGUUCUAACGUUGGCCCCUUACCGGGGUUGCGGACAGUGUCUGGUGGGUAGUUUGACUGGGGCGGUCUCCUCCCAAAGCGUAACGGAGGAGCACGAAGGUUAGCUAAUCCUGGUCGGACAUCAGGAGGUUAGUGCAAUGGCAUAAGCUAGCUUGACUGCGAGCGUGACGGCGCGAGCAGGUGCGAAAGCAGGUCAUAGUGAUCCGGUGGUUCUGAAUGGAAGGGCCAUCGCUCAACGGAUAAAAGGUACUCCGGGGAUAACAGGCUGAUACCGCCCAAGAGUUCAUAUCGACGGCGGUGUUUGGCACCUCGAUGUCGGCUCAUCACAUCCUGGGGCUGAAGUAGGUCCCAAGGGUAUGGCUGUUCGCCAUUUAAAGUGGUACGCGAGCUGGGUUUAGAACGUCGUGAGACAGUUCGGUCCCUAUCUGCCGUGGGCGCUGGAGAAUUGAGGGGGGCUGCUCCUAGUACGAGAGGACCGGAGUGGACGCAUCACUGGUGUUCGGGUUGUCAUGCCAAUGGCACUGCCCGGUAGCUAAAUGCGGAAGAGAUAAGUGCUGAAAGCAUCUAAGCACGAAACUUGCCCCGAGAUGAGUUCUCCCUGAGACUUUAAGUCUCCUGAAGGAACGUU